GGAGGAGCUUACUUCAUCCAAAAUAAUAAGAUCAGAGUUUAUGGAGUUAAGUGUUUCAAAGUUUAAUGUUUCUUGUGCUGGGGGAGUCAAAGGGGAUAAAUUCUUUUCCAGCAUAGUUGGUCCUAAUGAUAGAGAAGAGCAGUUCAUGUUUAAUGUGCUUUUAAGAGGAAGCUGUUCCAGGAAUGGAUCCAAGUUUCCAGAGUUUGAUAUAUUUUUGCUGCUGAUCGAGGAAAACUUCCUCCUCUCAUGUGAAGAGAUAAGGUUUGUUGUUGGAGUUCUCUUUGUGAACAAGGAAAUUGGACUGGCCAGGUUUGUGAAAUGUCUCUGAACGGAUAUUCCAUGGUAGCUGAGAAGGGAUUUAUUUGCAAUUAUCCGUGCUGUUGUCUCAGCCGAUUUAAAGAAUUUCCUUAGUCCCUGCUCCAAGCACAAGACCAUCACAACACUCAACAUCUGGAGAGCACCAGGUUGGGGAAGGCUGCUCAAGUGUCUCAGGCCUUCCGCAUCAGCUGCUACCUGACCCUUCUGAACUGGAGACGGCAUGGAAUGGCCUUGGGGACUUCUGCUCCAGUGCUCAGCUUUCAUCCCUCCUGAAACCCAGAGCGCUCCAUCAAUCCACCUUGAGAUGGAGGAUGGAGAAAGGUGUGAGAAACUAGCCUGCUGUACAAAGAAUCGUCAAGAAACCCUGGGCAUGUAGCAGCAAGCAAGUUCAAUCUCCGGGGUUUGAACCCUGAUGGCUCCUUUAUACAUGGCACCAAGGAGCCCCUCUUGGAAGCAUAAACUACAUGGAAGAACCAGCCAAAACAGACUGUUCUGCCAAAAGGAUCUGAAGGAUUACAGAAGGAAAGAAGACCUCUGGAACAAGUGGUGCAAAGCAGCACUGCAGAACAUGAUUUGUUGUUUAUGUGCCUUCAAGUUGAUUACGACUUAUGGUGACCCUAUGAAUCAGUGACCUCCAAGAGCAUCUGUCAUGAACCAUCCUGUUAAGAUCUUCUCAUUGGGGUAGAAAACCACCAUGAAAUAUCAGCCAAAUUCAAAAGAUCUUGAAGAAACCCAGAAGAGAGCCUUCAAGAAAAAGAAACACCCUCUGCAUAUGUGGAUCUCAAAAUGCCUUGCCUCAUUUGCCCCAAAUAUCAACUCCUGAAGGGAAGCCGGUUGGAUAGAUAUUUGCAUAUCUAGGAGCUACCUGGAGAUGCUGUGGAAUUGAACCUGGGAUCUUCGGUAUGUAAGGCGGAUACUCUGCCACUGAACUAUGGCCCUUCCCAGUGGCCCUUUGUCCCCCGACUGGUAGUAGAGGUCAGAGUGUGCUGCCUUUCACAUGACAUGCUGAAGACCAUCAAGAAGAAAAAGAAGAAAACAGGUUGUGUCGCCAUUUUUAUUCGAUACAGGCCAUGUAGGCUACUGAACACAUAGUACAGACUAGCAGCAGGCUAAUAACGCAGCUAGUGAAUAUGCUACAUUACAACUGCUCACAAUACAGCCCAUUUAAAUAUAAAUUCUCAUACUGCAUAUAAACAUAAUUCCAUUGUACUCAAUGGGCCGUGAACAUUUAAAAAAUCCACUGGAAUAGUUCCCAUUUAUCUUUCUUAUGAAUGAUCAUUUUUGUUCCCUCUGUAAAUACAUCUCAGAGUUAAAGUUCUGUGGUCGUUCAUUAGUUCCAGCUGCCUUCAUCUACACAUCUCAUUUGUAACAUCUUAAAAAAUAACUACAUCGCUACUUAAUUGUUUUAAAAAAUAUUUUGCUACUUUUUAAGAUCUUUGGCAAAUAUUCCCUUGAACUUUAUUUUGUACAUGCCAACUGCUCUGGUUUUAAUUUUACAUGCUAGAAUUAAAUGCCUUUUCAUGGAGGAUUUUCAUGGAGGAUUUUCCCAGCCAUACUUUUAGACCAACUGAAGCCAAACAUACAGUGACAGAGCACUAUUCAAACUACUGGAGUAGUGCCAUUGACAUAAAGACAAUACACCUGUGUGAGCCUGCUCUGAAUGAACCACCUACAAGUAGCCAGGUCCUACACAGUAGGAAGAACACUGAAAAAAAUGUGGUGCAAAUAUUUUAAAUAUUACACACACACUAUCAACACCCAGAUGCCAUACUGUUUCGAGUUACAUGCCGCCCCCGCCCCCCAUCUGUUAGCAUUACUGGACACGCUAAAUAAAAAUUAAAAGGAGGUCCCGAACACUCAGGUGCUGACCAGGAAAGAAAGCCUGAAUUGCUGGGCUGAGUGAUGGGAUAAACCAGAUUCAUUCAAGCAUUCAAGCUUGCUGGUAAGUGCCCUGCACUCUCCUGCCAAGAUUUUCGGUGUGGAAUCCUUCCAAAGGAUAGGAGCCAAGCGUUCCCAAUGACCUGAAUUUUGGAUGUGGUAGUCUGCACCCAUUUUAGGGUGGAGGAGGCAGGGUGUUCAGUGCUUCAGCAUCCACUCCUCCCCCCCCCAAUUUACAAAAGGCACUUAUGGACUUAAUAAGCAUGACUUUGGACACCACGACCUCAGCCUCAUUAUCCGUUUGUGGGGGCCAAAGGCUAUUGGUGGUCAAGCAUGAUGGCUCAGGUCCUUCAGCGCACUGGCACAGACUUGGGCCUCCAAGUUGGAUUAAUGGGACAGGGAAAGGAUGAUCCGAGUAGAUUUGGUGGUUUUCUAUCCUCUGAAGGCACACAGAGGACUGCCAAAAACAAGAGGAAGAGAAACUAGAGUCUAGUAUUGCCUUUACCAGAUUUUUUUUAAAAAAAAUCUAUGUACAGCAGGGGUAACAAACAUGGCGUCCUCUAGAUGUCACUGGACUCCAACUCCCAUCGUCCCUGAUCACCGGCCAUGCUGUCUGGGGCUGUUGGGAGUUGUAGUCCAACAAAUAUCUAGAGCAGCCUUUCCCAACUAGUGGGCCACUGGUCAGGAAAGAUGGGAAUUGUGGUCCAACAACAUCUGGUGGCCCACUGGUUGGGAAAGGCUGAGAGCCACCAUGUCGACCAUCUGUGAUGUACAGAAUAGUCAGUCUCAGGACAGAAGUAGGUGAAAUGGCAACAGAUCUGUGCUUUUGAACAUUAAUCUGCUGUAUAUGCGGUGCAAAACAGAAAGGGGGGAAUCUGAUUUAAGGAUCAAAGCAGAAAUUGAAGGGAACAUGGAUCCCUCUCCCCACACAUUACGUAGCCGUCUGCAGCAGCCCAAGAUUCGGAGCAUUUGGGGAGAAAAGUGACACUUUUGCUCAUGACUAGUGCACACACACACACACACUUUUUACACGAUUGCAGCAGAUCGAUGUUUUAAAAGCACACAGAUCUAGCAUUGCUUUAAAUGAAAAAAAAGUCAUCACAGCAGCAUAUUUUUUUUACCAGUUCCAUACAAUGCAGUUCCUUUGAAACAACAAGAGUUUUAGCAUUAUCCUGUAAUGAGAAAGAGCAGCCUCAGGCUAUGCUUUACAAGCAGAUCAGAAGAGUCUGGGUGGAGGUGGGGAAGAAGAGCUGAAAAAGUGGGACAUAAAUGCUUUAUGUUUCCAUCAUCUAGUGGGAGGGAGGGAGA
This is a long non-coding RNA of Rhineura floridana, 3504 nucleotides long. RefSeq lists it as uncharacterized. Lineage: Eukaryota; Metazoa; Chordata; Lepidosauria; Squamata; Rhineuridae. The record is from RefSeq and is a predicted model, not a curated record. The transcript is spliced from 7 exons.